RNAcentral lists this ribosomal RNA (468 nucleotides) under uncultured bacterium. Its description in RNAcentral is "partial 16S ribosomal RNA". It matches the Rfam family "Bacterial small subunit ribosomal RNA", at positions 28 to 507 of the family's 1533-position model. The record is from RNAcentral.
GACGAACGCUGGCGGCGUGCUUAACACAUGCAAGUCGAACGGAAAGGCCCUGCUUUUGUGGUGUGCUCGAGUGUCGAACGUGUGAUUAACACUUGAGUAACCUGCCCUUGACUUUGGUAUAACUUCAGGAAACUGGGGCUAAUACCGGAUAGGAGCUCCUGCUGCAUGGUGGUGGUUGUAAAGUUUCGGCGGUUGGGGAUGGACUCGCGGCUUAUCAGCUUGUUGGUGGGGUAGUGGCUUACCAAGGCUUUGACGGGUAGCCGGCCUGAGAGGGUGACCGACCACAUUGGGACUGAGAUACGGCACAGACUCCUACGGGAGGCAGCAGUGGGGAAUAUUGAACAAUGGGCGGAAGCCUGAUGCAGCAACGCCGCGUGCGGGAUGAAGGCCUUCGGGUUGUAAACCGCUUUCGCCUGUGACGAAGCGUGAGUGACGGUAAUGGGUAAAGAAGCACCGGCUAACUACGUG